CAAAGGAGCUUGCUUCUCUUGAGAGCGGCGGACGGGUGAGUAAAGCCUAGGAAUCUGCCUGGUAGUGGGGGAUAACGUUCGGAAACGGACGCUAAUACCGCAUACGUCCUACGGGAGAAAGCAGGGGACCUUCGGGCCUUGCGCUAUCAGAUGAGCCUAGGUCGGAUUAGCUAGUUGGUGAGGUAAUGGCUCACCAAGGCGACGAUCCGUAACUGGUCUGAGAGGAUGAUCAGUCACACUGGAACUGAGACACGGUCCAGACUCCUACGGGAGGCAGCAGUGGGGAAUAUUGGACAAUGGGCGAAAGCCUGAUCCAGCCAUGCCGCGUGUGUGAAGAAGGUCUUCGGAUUGUAAAGCACUUUAAGUUGGGAGGAAGGGCAUUAACCUAAUACGUUAGUGUUUUGACGUUACCGACAGAAUAAGCA
RNAcentral lists this ribosomal RNA (425 nucleotides) under uncultured Pseudomonas sp. Its description in RNAcentral is "bacterial SSU rRNA". It matches the Rfam family "Bacterial small subunit ribosomal RNA", at positions 71 to 492 of the family's 1533-position model. Lineage: Bacteria; Pseudomonadati; Pseudomonadota; Gammaproteobacteria; Pseudomonadales; Pseudomonadaceae. The record is from RNAcentral.